RNAcentral lists this ribosomal RNA (449 nucleotides) under uncultured bacterium. Its description in RNAcentral is "bacterial SSU rRNA". It matches the Rfam family "Bacterial small subunit ribosomal RNA", at positions 32 to 461 of the family's 1533-position model. The record is from RNAcentral.
AAUCAACGCUGGCGGCGUGCCUCAGACAUGCAAGUCGAACGCGAAAGUUUCCUUCGGGAAGCGAGUAGAGUGGCGUCCGGGUGAGUAACACGUAGGUAAUCUACCUUUGGGUGGGGAAUAACAACCGGAAACGGUUGCUAAUACCGCAUAAUGCAGCGGCACCACAUGGUGGCAGUUGUUAAAGCGGGGGAUCGCAAGACCUCGCGCCUAAAGAGGAGCCUGCGGCGGAUUAGCUAGUGGUAAGGUAACGGCUUACCAAGGCAACGAUCCGUAGCCGGCCUGAGAGGGCGGUCGGCCACACUGACACUGAAAUACGGGUCAGACUCCUACGGGAGGCAGCAGUCGGGAAUUUUGGGCAAUGGGCGAAAGCCUGACCCAGCAACGCCGCGUGAAGGAUGAAAUCCCUCGGGAUGUAAACUUCGCAAGAACAGGAAGAAUAAGUAGGGGAC